RNAcentral lists this unclassified non-coding RNA (329 nucleotides) under soil metagenome. RNAcentral describes it as "partial contains 5.8S ribosomal RNA, internal transcribed spacer 2, and large subunit ribosomal RNA". The stretch from base 1 to 120 matches the Rfam family "5.8S ribosomal RNA", at positions 35 to 154 of the family's 154-position model. The record is from RNAcentral.
GAUGAAGAACGCAGCGAAAUGCGAUAAGUAGUGUGAAUUGCAGAAUUCAGUGAAUCAUCGAAUCUUUGAACGCACAUUGCGCCCCUUGGUAUCCCGAGGGGCAUGCCUGUUCGAGCGUCAUUUCACCACUCAAGCCUGGCUUGGUGUUGGGCGACGUCCUCUUUGGGGACGCGCCUCGAAACGCUCGGCGGCGUGGCACCGGCUUUAAGCGUAGCAGAAUCUUUCGCUUUGGAAGUCGGGGCCCCGUCUGCCCGAAGACCUGCUCGCAAGGUUGACCUCGGAUCAGGCAGGGAUACCCGCUGAACUUAAGCAUAUCAAUAAGCGGAGGA